Molecule: long non-coding RNA, 361 nt
Filed under: Elaeis guineensis (African oil palm)
Lineage: Eukaryota; Viridiplantae; Streptophyta; Magnoliopsida; Arecales; Arecaceae
Description: long non-coding RNA (EGUI_LNC073983)
Source: RNAcentral
UGAAUUAAAAAUUCAGGUAGUCCAGUGCCUAAGUGCAGUGAGUUGCUUGCAAGUCACCGUGGCGGUCUCAGGUCGGAGGGACAUUUAUACCCAUAUCCCAUCGGAGCAAAUCUUGACAGCAGAAAUAGCUCCGGAGUUGAUCACGUUCAGUGCAAAUGUACCAUUAUAUCUCAUCUGUAUGUCAUAGGAGUGUCUCCACACUCUUUGGUUAUGAGGACAACCAACCCAUAUGGCACACAACGACCUAUGCUCGAUAAACGUUGUCGUCCUUGGUAACAACGUAUCAUUUGGUCGCGAACAUGUUUAAGGACUAAGCGAUAAAUCCUCCUUUGUCGAGUCUAAAUAGUCCUAAGGACUUCAC